This is a non-coding RNA of Sphaerobolus stellatus SS14, 70 nucleotides long. Lineage: Eukaryota; Fungi; Basidiomycota; Agaricomycetes; Geastrales; Sphaerobolaceae. The record is from the annotation of a GenBank genome assembly.
GGUUUGCUGGCGCAGUUGGUAGCGCAUUCGCUUCACAGAGAGGUCGUCGGUUCGAGCCCGGCGUGAACCA